Haliotis rufescens (red abalone) is the source of this 2040-nucleotide long non-coding RNA. RefSeq lists it as uncharacterized. The transcript is spliced from 3 exons. The record is from RefSeq and is a predicted model, not a curated record. Lineage: Eukaryota; Metazoa; Mollusca; Gastropoda; Lepetellida; Haliotidae.
ACCCGAUCCGUCUCGACCCAUUUUGGGACUUUCAAAGGAUGCCAUUUUCGUUGAAGGACAGUGACAUUUAGCCAGAGAUUGCAGUAUUAUUUCAAAGCAAAUCCCGCUAACGCUUAUAAUGGUGUGUUCUCAAUUCGACAUUUGACGCCCGUCCUUCUCUCUCUCUGAGCACCGGAAGUGCACGCUGCCUGUUUCCCCCACGUGCAGUUGGACAGCUGCAUAUCUCAGCCUACACGUGCACAACUACUGCACGUGGACGUGCACGUGCACGUGAAGCCACAAGAUUUCAUCUGACAUUACAUCAAGACCAGCUUUUGUGUGAACAUCACUUAUCACCCCGGAUUCCCAGCCCAGGUGCAUCUCGGAAACUUGAUCACUGUUGCGGAUAGUACAGCCUUGGAGCAAGGCUAGCCGUUGACCUCUGUCUGCGAUACCUCCGUCUUACCGGACGAUUAUGACCUUCAACCUGGCCGUAGCAGUGUGCUAGUUGUAUUGCUUUGUAAAGCAUAUUCACAUAAGGGUUCACAUCAUAAACAUUUGCAAACUUUUCAUUUGGCCGAACAAUUGUUAUUUGCCAUCUGUCAUUAACCAACAACAACUGACGACAGAUGCGUCGAGAUCAUUCAGAUAUGACGAGAUUCGCAUAUUCCUCCAACACAAACGAGCGUUAUAGUUCGAGCGUUUUAUAUCACUUGAGUCUUGAGAAUUAAGUCGCUCACAUUAAUCCCGCUUAACGUUUUGGAUAGCUGUUGUCACUUUCAGCAGUCCCACUUUAAAUUAUCUACGAUCACGUCACUUUCAACAGCCUAGCUUUAAAUUAUCUGUCUGCGAUCAUAUCAAUUUCAGCAGUCCCACUUUAAAUUAUCUACGAUCACGUCACUUUCCACAGCCUUGGUUUAAAUAAUCUAUCUACGUCCACGUCACUUUCGGCAGUCCCACUUUAAAUUAUCUACGAUCACGUCACAUCACAGCCUUGCUUUAAAUUAUAUAUCUACGAUCGCGUCACUUUCAGCAGUCCCGCUUUAAAUUUUAUCUACGAUCACGUCACUUUCAGCAGUCCCGCUUUAAAUUAUCUACGAUCACGUCAUUUCCAGCAAUCCCGCUUUAAAUUAUCUACGAUCACGUCACCAUCAACAUCCUUGCUUUAAAUUAUCUACGACCACGUCACUUUCAGCCGUCUCACUUCAAAUUUUCUACGAUCACGUCACUUUCAACAGCCUUGAUUUAAAUUAUCUACGACCACGUCACUUUCAGCAGCGCCGGUAUAAAAUAUCCACGAUCACGUCACAUGUAGCGAAAGGCGUGACGGCGAGGCAUCUUGCUACCCGCCCUAUUGUUUAGGUAUUGUGCAAAUUGUACCCCAGACAUGGAUAGUGCAGUUUACUGACUGGGGCGGUUGAGAAUCUAAAAAGUGAUCUCACUAUCACUCGCCAGAUUCCUGCUGACGUCGAGGUGUUUGUGCCAACCAAUUGAGUCUCUAAUCACCUCGCCAUACUUCCAUUGUCAGUAAUGACGGUAUUUAGCCAGACUGCAGUCACCGCGCUAGUACAUCGCGCACGUGCUUCAACACAGACAGGGGAGACAAUUAAAUGGGAAAGAUGAUGAGGGCUUCAGUGAUGAAGCCAUCCUUUAUCAAAAUGCCCUGGGCACAGUACAAUAUUGCAACUAGCAUCAAAUUUAUCGAGUCUGACAUCAGCUCAUUCCGGCAGCCGGAUCGGGGAUUUAAAACGAAAUAUGAGCGUGAAGUCGGAGAAGUCAAGAUGAAGUCAUCAAAAUUGAAUUUUUUUAAAUGAAGGGAGUGUUUAUGUCAUCUUACAGUGCUCAGAUAAUUCAAAAGUCAAAUUACAAAUCCUUUGUGACUUGGUCUAUUAAAUUGAAAAUAUAAAUUUCUGGCUGAGAGAGUGCGCUGUAUGACAUUUUAUUACAAAAAGGUGGACAAUCAGUUUCGAAUUGAAACCAGCUAGGGAAAGAGGAAUGGCCCAGAUGUUUCUGAAAUGUGAUGAACUGAUAUUUAAUGAAAUCAUAAUCUCCAGACAGUUU